RNAcentral lists this long non-coding RNA (958 nucleotides) under Durio zibethinus. RNAcentral's name for it is "long non-coding RNA (DZIB_LNC000485)". Lineage: Eukaryota; Viridiplantae; Streptophyta; Magnoliopsida; Malvales; Malvaceae. The record is from RNAcentral.
UUUUUUUAAUAAUAAUAAUAUUUAACAAAACAAACAAAAAACAAAAAAUAAACAAACAAAAGAAACAGAAAUAAAACAAAAGUCAAGGGGUUGGUUCGGCGCCGAACUGGCCCGACCAACUACCCGAUCAGCCUCCCGACAAGCCACCAAUCACGGACGGUAGGUAUGAUUUUUCAGUUGAAAAAUGAGAUUCAAAUCUCAGAAAAUCUGAGAUUUGAAUCCCAACAAGCUCUAUAAAUAUAGCUUGUAAACUAGACUAAAAGAGGAAACGAAAAAAAAAGAAAAAAAGGAGGCAGCUUCUGUAAAAAAAAAAAAAUUCUGCAAAAACACACAAAAAAAAAAAACAACAGUCCCCUGGAACGGGGAACCCAGCGCCAGAAAGUCACCUGAAAAAAAAAAGAGAGAGAUCAGCAGAUUCAAAAAAAAAAAAAAAAAAAAAAGGAGACCGAAACUUUGAGCCCCGAUCUACGUCGAUCAGGGUUGUUUCCGGUAAAAAGGACACCGGAUCUGGAAAGAUCGCGUCGAAGAGAACUUCCAGAAGAAUUUUCACUUUUCCCGGUCAUCGGAAACCACCGUCCAAGACUGCCGGCGGCGAGCCAGACGGCGGCCGGCACGGUGCUCCGGCAACCGACCGGCGACCCUCCCCCAGAGCUCUCUCUCUCCCUCUCUCCCUUUUUUUUUUCUGAAACAGAAGCCAAAUGAACCAAAAAAAAAUCUUCAGCUAUAUAUAGUAAAGCAAAAACUCAAAACGACGUCGUUUAGAGAAAGACCCAAAACGACGCCGUUUCAGCCAAGGAGGAUCCGCGCGUCAACCCGCGACCCGACCCGGGGUCCGCGCACCCGACCCGCGACCCGCUGCCUUUAUCAGCUCUGACCGGUCUGACUAGACCGAACCGAACCGCCGGACCAAACCAACCAGAUCGAACCGAACCGCCGAACCGAACCAGGAGUUGACCGG